GACGAACGCUGGCGGCGUGCUUAACACAUGCAAGUCGAACGAUGAAGAAGAGCUUGCUCUUCGGAUUAGUGGCGAACGGGUGAGUAACACGUGACUAACCUGCCCCUUUCUCUGGGAUAACGCUCCGAAAGGAGUGCUAAUACCGGAUACUCACAUCGAGGCACAUGCCUUGAUGUGGAAAGUUUUUCGGAAAGGGAUGGAGUCGCGGCCUAUCAGCUUGUUGGUGAGGUAACGGCUCACCAAGGCGACGACGGGUAGCCGGCCUGAGAGGGCGACCGGCCACACUGGGACUGAGACACGGCCCAGACUCCUACGGGAGGCAGCAGUGGGGAAUAUUGCACAAUGGGCGAAAGCCUGAUGCAGCGACGCCGCGUGAGGGAUGAAGGUCUUCGGAUUGUAGACCUCUUUCAGUAGGGACGAAGCGGAAGUGACGGUACCUAAAGAAGAAGCACCGGCUAACUACGUGCCAGCAGCCGCGGUAA
Molecule: ribosomal RNA, 482 nt
Filed under: uncultured bacterium
Lineage: Bacteria
Description: partial 16S ribosomal RNA
Rfam family: Bacterial small subunit ribosomal RNA
Source: RNAcentral